This 71-nucleotide transfer RNA is filed under the name Vanneaugobius canariensis. Its description in RNAcentral is "tRNA-Val". It matches the Rfam family "tRNA". Rfam says of the family: Transfer RNA (tRNA) molecules are approximately 80 nucleotides in length. Their secondary structure includes four short double-helical elements and three loops (D, anti-codon, and T loops). Lineage: Eukaryota; Metazoa; Chordata; Actinopteri; Gobiiformes; Gobiidae. The record is from RNAcentral.
CAGAGCGUAGCUAAACAGUAAAGCAUCUCCCUUACACCGAGAAGGCACCUGUGCGAAUCAGGUCGCUCUGA